Molecule: ribosomal RNA, 565 nt
Filed under: uncultured bacterium
Lineage: Bacteria
Description: partial 16S ribosomal RNA
Rfam family: Bacterial small subunit ribosomal RNA
Source: RNAcentral
UGGGGAAUUUUGGACAAUGGGCGAAAGCCUGAUCCAGCAAUGCCGCGUGUGUGAAGAAGGCCUUCGGGUUGUAAAGCACUUUUGUCCGGAAAGAAAUCCUUGGCUCUAAUACAGUCGGGGGAUGACGGUACCGGAAGAAUAAGCACCGGCUAACUACGUGCCAGCAGCCGCGGUAAUACGUAGGGUGCAAGCGUUAAUCGGAAUUACUGGGCGUAAAGCGUGCGCAGGCGGUUUGCUAAGACCGAUGUGAAAUCCCCGGGCUCAACCUGGGAACUGCAUUGGUGACUGGCAGGCUAGAGUAUGGCAGAGGGGGGUAGAAUUCCACGUGUAGCAGUGAAAUGCGUAGAGAUGUGGAGGAAUACCGAUGGCGAAGGCAGCCCCCUGGGCCAAUACUGACGCUCAUGCACGAAAGCGUGGGGAGCAAACAGGAUUAGUACCCUGGUAGUCCACGCCCUAAACGAUGUCAACUAGUUGUUGGGGAUUCAUUUCCUUAGUAACGUAGCUAACGUGUGAAGUUGACCGCCUGGGGAGUACGGUCGCAAGAUUAAAACUCAAAUGAAUUGAC